RNAcentral lists this ribosomal RNA (636 nucleotides) under uncultured marine eukaryote. RNAcentral describes it as "SSU rRNA". It matches the Rfam family "Eukaryotic small subunit ribosomal RNA", at positions 618 to 1258 of the family's 1831-position model. The record is from RNAcentral.
GUUAAAAAGCUCGUAGUUGGAUUUCUGUUGAGGACGACCGGUCCGCACUAUGUGCGUGUAUCUGGUUCGGCCUUGGCAUCCUCCUGGGGAACGGUGCUGCGCUUGAUUGCGUGGUCUGGUAUUCAGGACUUUUACUUUGAGGAAAUUAGAGUGUUUACGGCAGGCAACCGCCUUGAAUAUAUCAGCAUGGAAUAAUAACAUAGGACCUUGGUUCUAUUUUGUUGGUUUCUAGAACUAAGGUAAUGAUUAAUAGGGAUAAUUGGGGGCAUUCGUAUUAACACGUCAGAGGUGAAAUUCUUGGAUUGUGUUACGACGAACUACUGCGAAAGCAUUUGCCAAGGAUGUUUUCAUUGAUCAAGAACGAAAGUGCGGGGAUCGAAGAUGAUUAGAUACCGUCGUAGUCUGCACCAUAAACUAUGCCAACUAGAGAUUGGAGGUCGUUCUUUUUAUGACUCCUUCAGCACCUUAUGAGAAAUCAAAGUCUUUGGGUUCCGGGGGGAGUAUGGUCGCAAGGCUGAAACUUAAAGGAAUUGACGGAAGGGCACCACCAGGAGUGGAGCCUGCGGCUUAAUUUGACUCAACACGGGAAAACUUACCAGGUCCAGACAUAGUAAGGAUUGACAGAUUGAUAGCUCU